AUGUCAUGUGUGGCCCGCCCACCAAGUAGGACGUUUCUAGAAUCCCAUGUCGCCAUAUAUCAGGGCUGUCUGACAGUGAGCUGCAAAGGCUGCCAUAUCUCUAUCAGAUUGUAUCAUGAGCAAUCAUCUUGUAAAAUCAUCCUUGUUGACAGAAGUCAUUUUACCCUGACCCCUCGACGCCUCUUGCCCUC
Long non-coding RNA from Paramormyrops kingsleyae, 191 nucleotides. RefSeq lists it as uncharacterized. Lineage: Eukaryota; Metazoa; Chordata; Actinopteri; Osteoglossiformes; Mormyridae. The record is from RefSeq and is a predicted model, not a curated record.